Molecule: ribosomal RNA, 338 nt
Filed under: uncultured bacterium
Lineage: Bacteria
Description: partial 16S ribosomal RNA
Rfam family: Bacterial small subunit ribosomal RNA
Source: RNAcentral
CCUACGGGCGGCAGCAGUGGGGAAUAUUGCGCAAUGGGCGAAAGCCUGACGCAGCGACGCCGCGUGAGGGAUGAAGGUCUUCGGAUCGUAAACCUCUGUCAGCAGGGAAGAACGGUCACUGUGCUAAUCAGCAGUGAAUUGACGGUACCUGCAAAGGAAGCACCGGCUAACUCCGUGCCAGCAGCCGCGGUAAUACGGAGGGUGAGAGCGUUAAUCGGAAUUACUGGGCGGAAAGCGCUCGUAGGCGGUAUGUCAAGGUAAGGGUGAAAUCCCCGCGCUCAACGUGGGAACUGCCUUUGAAACUGGCACACUGGAGUGUGUGAUAGGAUAGUCGCAUU